AGCGAACGCUGGCGGUGGGCCUAACACAUGCAAGUCGAACGGCAGCACAGUAAGAGCUUGCUCUUACGGGUGGCGAGUGGCGGACGGGUGAGGAAUACAUCGGAAUCUACUUUUUCGUGGGGGAUAACGUAGUGAAACUUACGCUAAUACCGCAUACGACCUACGGGUGAAAGCAGGGGAUCUUCGGACCUUGCGCGAUUGAAUGAGCCGAUGUCGGCUUAGCUAGUUGGCGGGGUAAAGGCCCACCAAGGCGACGAUCCGUAGCUGGUCUGAGAGGAUGAUCAGCCACUCUGGAACUGAGACACGGUCCAGACUCCUACGGGAGGCAGCAGUGGGGAAUAUUGGACAAUGGGCGCAAGCCUGAUCCAGCCAUACCGCGUGGGUGAAGAAGGCCUUCGGGUUGUAAAGCCCUUUUGUUGGGAAAGAAAAGCAGCAGGUUAAUACCCCGCUGUUCUGACGGUACCCAAAGAAUAAGCACCGGCUAACUUCGU
This 491-nucleotide ribosomal RNA is filed under the name uncultured bacterium. RNAcentral describes it as "partial 16S ribosomal RNA". It matches the Rfam family "Bacterial small subunit ribosomal RNA", at positions 29 to 506 of the family's 1533-position model. The record is from RNAcentral.